GAAUAGAGGGCGAAUGUACCUCAGGUUAUCACUCGCAACGAAAAUAAACGAAUAGUCUCUGUUUUGAAGGCCUGACAAACAAGCAACUGUUUUUCCCAAAAAUUUGAGCGAGCACAUCUAGCAACUCUGGGUCUUUUAAAGGUCAAAGAAUUUAGUGUUGUAACCAAGAAUUAAGAUUUUCUGCUGGGUUUAUCUUGAGAUUUCUUCAAAUCUUCGAUUUUCAUCGAAAUUCUAAUCCGGGAAUAGCCCAAAUUGCUUUAGCGCUAUAAAUUUCAGAAGCAUGAAGAAUUUUGGCAAUCCUAUAUGAACCAGCACUCAAAACCAGCCACAAGACGUUGGCAUUUUGUGUAGUAUUCUGUGCUUGGUAUACUCAGUGUUCUUCAACUGGUGGUGCCUAAUUUUCGUGCCCUUGUUUGGGUAUUGUUUGGCAUGGUAUAGCCACUUCUUUGUUGAAAGGGAUGUUCUAGCAACUUUUGGGCAUCCCUUCUCGUCUCUACUAUGUGAUUGGAAGAUGUUUGGCCUGAUGCUUGGUCAAAUGGAUAGAGAAAUCAAGAGGCUUGGUAAGAGGCCUAUCUUGCAAGCCUACUGAUUUUCUUAUUUUAGUUUGUUUAGAAGAUAUAGUUUUAAUAGCAUGUGAAUCUUUUUCUAUUUUGUUUGAUCUUUCUAUAUUGCCUUUAUUGUUCCUUUUUUAUGGUCUUCACCAUCACUGCAAUCACACCACCACCAACACCAUCAUCGCAAACACAACCUACCAGACACAUAUCUGUGCACACCACCACACAUAUGUACACACUAUCACAUAAAGAUCCGCAUCACAUAUUUAGCCUUCAAUCGUCACCAAAGCCUUUGAACCCAUCCAUCACCAUCGAUGAAAAAAAUCUCCCCAACACCUACUCACCUUUGAUUGGAGGCUCAGCCCCUCAUGUAG
RNAcentral lists this long non-coding RNA (928 nucleotides) under Olea europaea subsp. europaea. The record is from RNAcentral. Lineage: Eukaryota; Viridiplantae; Streptophyta; Magnoliopsida; Lamiales; Oleaceae.